AUUGAACGCUGGCGGCAGGCUUAACACAUGCAAGUCGAGCGGGGGAAGGUAGCUUGCUACUGGACCUAGCGGCGGACGGGUGAGUAAUGCUUAGGAAUCUGCCUAUUAGUGGGGGACAACAUCUCGAAAGGGAUGCUAAUACCGCAUACGUCCUACGGGAGAAAGCAGGGGAUCUUCGGUCUCGCGCUAAUAGGUGAGCCUAAGUCAGAUUAGCUAGUUGGUGGGGUAAAGGCCUACCAAGGCGACGAUCUGUAGCGGGUCUGAGAGGAUGAUCCGCCACACUGGGACUGAGACACGGCCCAGACUCCUACGGGAGGCAGCAGUGGGGAAUAUUGGACAAUGGGGGGAACCCUGAUCCAGCCAUGCCGCGUGUGUGAAGAAGGCCUUAUAGUUGUAAAGCACUUUAAGCGAGGAGGAGGCUACUCUAGUUAAUACCUAGGGAUAGUGGACGUUACUCGCAGAAUAAGCACCGGCUAACUCUGUGCCAGCCGCCGCAGUAA
This 500-nucleotide ribosomal RNA is filed under the name uncultured bacterium. RNAcentral's name for it is "partial 16S ribosomal RNA". It matches the Rfam family "Bacterial small subunit ribosomal RNA", at positions 30 to 523 of the family's 1533-position model. The record is from RNAcentral.